AUGCCAAAGUUUCAAAUACUUAGCUCAGCCUUAAAAAAAGAAAAGUGAAGCUGGCAAUAACAGUAAAGCCAUGUUAUGAGCCUUAAGGAUAAUUGAAAUCAUGAAGGUCCCUGAAAGUGGCCACAUUU
This 128-nucleotide small nucleolar RNA is filed under the name Echinops telfairi (small Madagascar hedgehog). RNAcentral describes it as "Small nucleolar RNA SNORA33 (ENSETEG00000022688.1)". The record is from RNAcentral. Lineage: Eukaryota; Metazoa; Chordata; Mammalia; Afrosoricida; Tenrecidae.